GAUGAAGAACGCAGCGAAAUGCGAUACGUAGUGUGAAUUGCAGAAUUCCGUGAACCAUCAAAUCUUUGAACGCAUAUUGCGCUCGAGGCUUCGGCCGAGAGCAUGUCUGCCUCAGCGUCGGUAUUACCCCUCGCUUCUCAACCCCUGGUUGAUGCCUGCCUGCCUUUGCAGUUGGCUAGAAGCGGAUCUGGCUUUCCCAAUUGCCUUUGGUAGUUGGGUCAGCUGAAGCACAGAGGCUUGAGCAAGGACCCUUAUUGGGCUUCAACUGGAUAGGUAGAACUGGUCUUAGGACCAACUACACGAAGUUGUUGCUUGUGGUCUUCGUCUGGAGGCCAGCAGGAAACCUUUAUACCUUCGACCUGAGCUCAGGCAAGAUUACCCGCUGAACUUAAGCAUAUCAAUAAGCGGAGGA
Molecule: unclassified non-coding RNA, 412 nt
Filed under: soil metagenome
Description: partial contains 5.8S ribosomal RNA, internal transcribed spacer 2, and large subunit ribosomal RNA
Rfam family: 5.8S ribosomal RNA (bases 1-120)
Source: RNAcentral